This 411-nucleotide ribosomal RNA is filed under the name Triticum aestivum (bread wheat). Its description in RNAcentral is "partial small subunit ribosomal RNA". The record is from RNAcentral. Lineage: Eukaryota; Viridiplantae; Streptophyta; Magnoliopsida; Poales; Poaceae.
AUGCAGCCGCACGCUACCAAACGGCCAAAAGAACGCACACCGCACCAUCAAUCAAAGGGGGGGAAAAGCAAACAGAAGCUCCACCGAGGAGACCCUGCCCCCAAGAACAAGAGCAAGAGCAAGAAACCCCACCGCCGAAAGCAGCAGCAGCAGCAGCAGCAGCAGGCGGAGGAAGCCAGCCAAAUCCAAACCGCAGGAGGAGCCGCGGAAGCGCGAGAUCCGGGCGAGAGGAGGCGGUCAACAGACCAAGAAAGGGCCAGGACAGGAGCCAAGAAACGAUCCGCACCUCUUGCAGGGGAGGAGCCGCGCGGGGGGAGGGAGGGAGGGAGGGAGGGAGCCCUACUACACGCGCGCCGCGGGGACGGGGACGGGGGGGAGGCUCCGCUCCAUUGCUUGCUGCCCUCCCGGUGA